RNAcentral lists this ribosomal RNA (560 nucleotides) under uncultured euryarchaeote AT-200_P25. Its description in RNAcentral is "bacterial SSU rRNA". It matches the Rfam family "Archaeal small subunit ribosomal RNA", at positions 78 to 640 of the family's 1478-position model. Lineage: Archaea; Methanobacteriati; Methanobacteriota. The record is from RNAcentral.
UCGGCGUACCGCUCAGUAACACGUGGAUAACCUGCCCUGUUCUGGGGGAUAACCUCGCGAAAGUGAGAAUAAUACCCCAUAGUUCACCAUGCCUGGAACGGUUGGUGGAUUAAAGCUCAGGCGGAACAGGAUGGGUCUGCGGCUAUCAGGUAGUAGGGGGUGUAAUGGACCUCCUAGCCCUCAACGCGUACGGGUUGUGGGAGCAAUCGCCCGGAGAUGGAUUCUGAGACACGAAUCCAGACCCUACAGGGUGCAGCAGGCGCGAAAACUUGACAAUGCGAGAAAUCGUGAUCAGGGAACUCCAAUUGUCCCCGUUUUUACGGGGUUCUGAAUUGACUCUAAACAGGUCGAGUAAUAAGGGGCGGGAAAUAUCGGUGCCAGCCGCCGCGGUAAUACAGAAGCCGCNAGUGGUCGUCGUUCUUAUUGGGCCUAAAACGUCCGUAGCCGGUUUGGUACAUUCGUGGGUAAAUCAGACAGCUUAACUGUCUGAAUUCUGCGAGCACGGCCAAACUUGAGACCGGGAGAGGUGUUGGGUACCCUGCGGGGUAGGGGUAAAAUCC